Molecule: ribosomal RNA, 253 nt
Filed under: uncultured bacterium
Lineage: Bacteria
Description: partial 16S ribosomal RNA
Rfam family: Bacterial small subunit ribosomal RNA
Source: RNAcentral
AACGUAGGAGACAAACGUUAUCCGGAGUUACUGGGCGUAAAGGGCGUGUAGGUGGUUUUGUAAGUCUGGCGUGAAAUUUUUCGGCUUAACCGGGAAAGGUCGUCGGAUACUGCAAGGCUAGAGGACGGUAGAGGCGUGUGGAAUUCCGGGUGUAGUGGUGAAAUUCGUAGAUAUCGGGAGGAACACCAGUGGCGAAGGCGGCGAUCUGGGAAGAUACUGACGCUGAGGUGCGAAAGCGUGGGGAGCAAACAGG